UUUAGAUUUGACCAAAAGUUUGGAUGAGUGCAAAACUGAAGAUUCUUUGUGAAUUUAAUGACUUGAUUCAAACGCCUGUAGAGACUUGAAGACGAGACUGAGUCAGUCCAGAAGGAGGAUAUUUUUGCCGGUUUCGCAUCCGUGCUUGCUGUUUGCCCAUCACUGCAGUUUAUGGCACUGCAGAGACCCGUGUUGAGAGAAGCAGGAGAGUAAGGAGCUGACGCCGGGAGCGCCGGGGAAGUCUCAUUUUCUUUCCGCCGUGCCAAGUGCUUUGAGAUCCCCGCGACACAGCUUUGCCAGAGGAGCGGAGAGAGGGACACACACGCACACUCACACACACACUCACACACGCGAGACACGGGGACUUCUGUGGAACAGCAGCCGUGCGCAGGGAUCCAUCCCGCUGGAGAGCCCUGGCCUUUGAAGUGUUACGAGGAGGAGGAGGAGGAGGUAAGUGGCGAGGCGACCCCCCCCCCCCCCUUCC
Molecule: long non-coding RNA, 484 nt
Filed under: Calidris pugnax (ruff)
Lineage: Eukaryota; Metazoa; Chordata; Aves; Charadriiformes; Scolopacidae
Description: lncRNA (ENSCPUG00000002263.1)
Source: RNAcentral